Molecule: ribosomal RNA, 500 nt
Filed under: uncultured bacterium
Lineage: Bacteria
Description: partial 16S ribosomal RNA
Rfam family: Bacterial small subunit ribosomal RNA
Source: RNAcentral
AUUGAACGCUGGCGGCAUGCCUUACACAUGCAAGUCGAACGGCAGCACGGGAGCAAUCCUGGUGGCGAGUGGCGAACGGGUGAGUAAAGUAUCGGAACGUGCCCAGUCGUGGGGGAUAACGUAGCGAAAGUUACGCUAAUACCGCAUACGAUCUAUGGAUGAAAGCGGGGGAUCGCAAGACCUCGCGCGAUUGGAGCGGCCGAUAUCAGAUUAGGUAGUUGGUGGGGUAAAGGCUCACCAAGCCGACGAUCUGUAGCUGGUCUGAGAGGACGACCAGCCACACUGGGACUGAGACACGGCCCAGACUCCUACGGAAGGCAGCAGUGUGGAAUUUUGGACAAUGGGCGCAAGCCUGAUCCAGCCAUGCCGCGUGCAGGAUGAAGGCCUUCGGGUUGUAAACUGCUUUUGUACGGAACGAAAAGGUUUGGCCUAAUAAGCUGAGCUCAUGACGGUACCGUAAGAAUAAGCACCGGCUAACUACGUGCCAGCCGCCGCCGUAA